CACUGCAUUACUGUUUUCAUUUUCCCUCUUUCACUCUCCCCCCAAAUUUUUUUUCCCCCAAAUUUUUUUCCCUCCACUUUCUCCCACCACCACUGUUCAGCUCCGGCCACCACGAAGCAGUGCCGACGCCCACCCAACGCCCACCAUCUGCGUAUACUCAAAGUUCCUUCGCCAAUUUCACAUAAUAUUCAGCAUAGUGAUGUUUUUGAAACUCAGGAUAGUACAACUACAAAGGAUAUAUGGCCACGUGAGCUAUUAAAAGGGUAGAUGGAACAAGUGGAAUAGAAGGAAUGAAAGUUACAAUAUAUUUUGUUGUUUUGAAAUUUUUUUGUGUUGUAUAGACAAGUGAAUAUGUAGCUUGUCCCUUUUUGUUGUUGCAAUAGUAGAUUUUCAAGGUGUUGCAACUACUUGA
Alnus glutinosa is the source of this 412-nucleotide long non-coding RNA. RefSeq lists it as uncharacterized. The record is from RefSeq and is a predicted model, not a curated record. Lineage: Eukaryota; Viridiplantae; Streptophyta; Magnoliopsida; Fagales; Betulaceae. The transcript has 3 exons.